RNAcentral lists this ribosomal RNA (497 nucleotides) under uncultured bacterium. Its description in RNAcentral is "partial 16S ribosomal RNA". It matches the Rfam family "Bacterial small subunit ribosomal RNA", at positions 28 to 507 of the family's 1533-position model. The record is from RNAcentral.
GAUGAGCGCUGGCGGCGUGCCUAAUACAUGCAAGUAGAACGCUGAAGCUUGGUGCUUGCACCGAGCGGAUGAGUUGCGAACGGGUGAGUAACGCGUAGGUAACCUGCCUCUUAGCGGGGGAUAACUAUUGGAAACGAUAGCUAAUACCGCAUAAAAGUCGAUAUCGCAUGAUAUUGAUUUGAAAGGUGCAAUUGCAUCACUAAGAGAUGGACCUGCGUUGUAUUAGCUAGUUGGUGAGGUAACGGCUCACCAAGGCAACGAUACAUAGCCGACCUGAGAGGGUGAUCGGCCACACUGGGACUGAGACACGGCCCAGACUCCUACGGGAGGCAGCAGUAGGGAAUCUUCGGCAAUGGGGGCAACCCUGACCGAGCAACGCCGCGUGAGUGAAGAAGGUUUUCGGAUCGUAAAGCUCUGUUGUAAGAGAAGAACGAGUGUGAGAGUGGAAAGUUCACACUGUGACGGUAACUUACCAGAAAGGGACGGCUAACUACGUG